AUAAUGCGGCUAGUCCAGACAGGCUGGGUGACAGGCUUACUCCAGCCCUAAGAUAAUGCCUCUAGUUGUGACAUGCUUACUUCAGCCCUAAGAUAAUGCCUCUAGUCCAGACAGGCUGGGUGACAGGCUUACUCCAGCCCUAAGAUAAUGCCUCUAGUCCAGAAUGGCUGGGUGACAGGCUUACUCCAGCCCUAAGAUAAUGUCUGUAGUCCAGACAGGCUGGGUGACAGGCUUCCUUCAGCCCUGAGAUAAUGCCUGUAGUCCAGACAGGCUGGGUGACAGUCUUCCUUCGGCCCUGAGAUAAUGCCUGUAGUCCAGACAGGGCUGAAGCAGGGCCGUCACUAGACGGUCAGGAGAUCCGGGGGCUCAGGCCUGAAGACCUGGGGCUGAUUCCGGGGGGUUUGAUCCCGGCGCGACUGAAAUGAUGCCCCCCCCCCCCACGCACGCACGCUAGCAGUGAACAUUUUGCAGAAAAAUGACGCUAAGUUGCAUAUCUCACUGCUUUGUUCCUUGCGUGGUGCCCCCUUGAUGCCAAAUAACCAACACUUAAUAUUAAUUCAAUGGAUUGUGGUCAGUAAACCCAUGGGAAUAUGGUGUCAAUAAAUGUUUAUUUAUUAUCAAGUGCAUAACUAUAUAAUUUUCCAUGACGAAAAAUAGUUGGAAACAGUUUAUUUCAUUCGGUUGCAAUGUUUUCAUAAACCAUGUCCGAUAUUUGAUUGGUAAUAAAUAAAAAUCCUCAUGAUGUUGGUCA
RNAcentral lists this long non-coding RNA (751 nucleotides) under Salmo salar (Atlantic salmon). RNAcentral's name for it is "lncRNA (ENSSSAG00000091022.1)". The record is from RNAcentral. Lineage: Eukaryota; Metazoa; Chordata; Actinopteri; Salmoniformes; Salmonidae.